Ornithodoros turicata is the source of this 353-nucleotide long non-coding RNA. RefSeq lists it as uncharacterized. NCBI's taxonomy places the organism in Eukaryota, Metazoa, Arthropoda, Arachnida, Ixodida, Argasidae. The transcript is spliced from 3 exons. The record is from RefSeq and is a predicted model, not a curated record.
GAGCUAUCACUUCGCUGUGUGGUUGCUGGUGCUGAGAAAUGCCUCGAUGACAUUUUCAUUGUUAAAAAUGGACUAUGGAAACAAGAUCAGUCAACAUGUGUGAGUGCACCUUCACCAAUCCCACAAAUGCCUCUGCUCUCACGAAUUUAUUACCCUUGGGAGAGCCUCAGCAAGACAGUACUUGAUGCAUUGGAAGCAGACAAUGUUCUGCUUCCCUCUCAACGACAGGAAGUGGCACACAUGGCAGCGUCAUGGCCCUGCAUAUCCAUUGUAGGCACCUGGUUGGUAUCAUUGAGAACGAAGGGAGCCAGCAGGCAUAAAAAAAUCAAGAGGGCUCCAUACAUAAAUGCGUG